This 643-nucleotide ribosomal RNA is filed under the name uncultured bacterium. RNAcentral's name for it is "bacterial SSU rRNA". It matches the Rfam family "Bacterial small subunit ribosomal RNA", at positions 8 to 650 of the family's 1533-position model. The record is from RNAcentral.
AGAGUUUGAUCCUGGCUCAGAUUGAACGCUGGCGGUAUGCCUUACACAUGCAAGUCGAACGGUAGAGGAGCAAUCCUCGAGAGUGGCGAACGGGUGAGUAAUACAUCGGAACGUGCCCAGUCGUGGGGGAUAACGUAGCGAAAGCUACGCUAAUACCGCAUACGACCCGAGGGUGAAAGCGGGGGACUCGCAAGAGCCUCGCGCGAUUGGAGCGGCCGAUGGCAGAUUAGGUAGUUGGUGGGGUAAAGGCCCACCAAGCCUGCGAUCUGUAGCUGGUCUGAGAGGACGACCAGCCACACUGGGACUGAGACACGGCCCAGACUUCUACGGGAGGCAGCAGUGGGGAAUUUUGGACAAUGGGCGAAAGCCUGAUCCAGCCAUACCGCGUGCGGGAAGAAGGCCUUCGGGUUGUAAACCGCUUUUGUCAGGGAAGAAAUACUUCGGGCUAAUACCCUGGGGUGAUGACGGUACCUGAAGAAUAAGCACCGGCCAACUACGUGCCAGCAGCCGCGGUAAUACGUAGGGUGCAAGCGUUAAUCGGAAUUACUGGGCGUAAAGCGUGCGCAGGCGGUUCUAUAAGACAGAUGUGAAAUCCCCGGGCUCAACCUGGGAACUGCAUUUGUGACUGUAGAGCUAGAGUACG